UGCGCCUUCUCCUUGUCCCAGCACCUCUGCCGUAACCCCUACAAGACUUUCCUCCCUCUUUUCCUCCCUCUGCCGCAACAUCGAGUGGGUGAAAUUUACAAAUUGAGUUAUAUUUUGGUCUCCUUUCUUUCGUUUCCUAUUAAUCUUGAAUUGUGCCUCCUGCUUUUACCUUUGCCGCCGCUUCCAUUGCCGUCACCACCACCACCGUCGCGUCCUCUCGUCCUCACUCUCCUUCCGCUCCUUCAAUUCUCAAUUCUCGACAAAUUUAGGGUUUAUGAUGUUAUAUUCAUUUUUAAAUUUUUGCCAAUCAAAGAUUGAUUUUUUUUGGUUGUUCCUCUGAUAAUGUUUGCCAUUAAUGUUAUAAAUUUGCUACUGUUUUUUUGCUUCUAAUUCAACAUUUGGACGAGGAUAGAAAAAAAGAAUUUGGAUAUUGACAUGGAUAAAGAAGGAGACGAGCAAAAGGCAAAAAAGAAAAAAGUGGGAAUGUAAAGGAGACUUGUUAGAAAAUGAAAUGGGAGACUUGCCUUUGAGCUCUUGCCAAAAGGUGGAUCAAUGUAUGAAGAAACAUUGGAGACUUACAAAUUUCAUGAUUAGAUCUCUUUGAUGCUGGAGAAGUUGCUUCUUGUAUUGAAUUUCUCAGUUUUAGCUGACGUUAACCACAUUAAUUCUUCAUUCAUUUGUCAAUGAGCUGAAUCCAGAAUUAUGCACCUUUUGUUGUUCUGCAUCAGGGGCCUCUCCGUACUUUAUUAGUUGAGGCAAUCUGUCCUUACAGCGAAAUUCUGCGCACCAGUCCCUACUGCAGGAAGAUCUUCUCACGCAAUCUUCUGAAGAAGUGAUGUUGGAAAUGGUGGUCAACUGCUGUGGUUUUUAGAAAAAAUGCUACAAACUUUGUGAAUAAGUGUUAAAUCUCUUUUUGGUGUGGCCUUAUGUAUAUUACCUGACCUCGUUUCCUUCAUGUUCAAGUGUGGUGACAACUUCUACCUUAGCCUGAGAGAAACUUGUGACUCUUUCUUAUGUUGUAGUGUUACUUGUCAAAUACUUUACAUAGGAGAUAAUGCAGGCAACGAAGCUUCUGUUGUUACCUGUUCUGUAUUUCUUUGGAUAAUGUUUUUUCCUUGCAUAUAGUAAAGGAGCCUUAUUUUGACUUUAAA
This is a long non-coding RNA of Coffea eugenioides, 1151 nucleotides long. RefSeq lists it as uncharacterized. The transcript has 2 exons. The record is from RefSeq and is a predicted model, not a curated record. Lineage: Eukaryota; Viridiplantae; Streptophyta; Magnoliopsida; Gentianales; Rubiaceae.